This 73-nucleotide transfer RNA is filed under the name Ictidomys tridecemlineatus (thirteen-lined ground squirrel). Its description in RNAcentral is "Spermophilus tridecemlineatus (thirteen-lined ground squirrel) tRNA". It matches the Rfam family "tRNA". Rfam says of the family: Transfer RNA (tRNA) molecules are approximately 80 nucleotides in length. Their secondary structure includes four short double-helical elements and three loops (D, anti-codon, and T loops). Lineage: Eukaryota; Metazoa; Chordata; Mammalia; Rodentia; Sciuridae. The record is from Rfam by way of RNAcentral.
AGAGUUGUGGCUCAGUGGUAGAGUGCUCGCCUUGCACGCAACAAGACCCUGGGUUCGAUCCUCAGCAUCACAU